RNAcentral lists this ribosomal RNA (669 nucleotides) under Triticum aestivum (bread wheat). Its description in RNAcentral is "partial small subunit ribosomal RNA". Lineage: Eukaryota; Viridiplantae; Streptophyta; Magnoliopsida; Poales; Poaceae. The record is from RNAcentral.
AUGGGUAUGCAGGCUCUGAUGAAUGUCCGGUGCACGAACCUUGUCAACCCUGUAUGCGACUGGCUUGGUGAGAUUUACGACCCCGCCUCCAGGGAAUUUGUGAUUCCGGGACGUGGAAGACUAACGUUCAACGAGGAAUCCGUGUUCUGCACUUUGGGUGUGCCUCGUGGACAUAUCAAAGUCCCGUACGAGGUCAAUAACGAGAUCGAGGAAGCGUUGUUCCCCUUGUUUCCUGGGUUGGAAUCCAUGCCGAACACGUCUGCACUGGCAGAUUCGCUGCAGGCCAUGACGAUCCAUGGAGAUGUUUUCAAGAUGAAGCUACUCAUGUACCUCAUCUCAGCUGUUUUCACGCCGACCACUUCUCUUCGCCCAAGCAACAAAUGCUUCCCCAUCCUGGCGGAUCUAAAAAAUAUGAAGAACAUGAAUUGGUGUAAGUUUAUUGCCGACUUCCUGCACGAUGCAUUCUCAAGCAAGAUGUACCAAAAGGGUUGUCGACUGCAUUUAAUGCUCAUGUACGUCGACUGUCUUGAUCUGUUCACCGUGGAUUUCACUGGGACAGGAGGUCCGCCGCCUACGCACAAGUUUGCUGUUUCUGCGUGGACUAUCAAUGCUGUCAAGGCUGUGCUUGCCGCAGACAGGGUAACUGAUACCAAAUAUGGAAAACUGUAG